RNAcentral lists this long non-coding RNA (246 nucleotides) under Drosophila guanche. Lineage: Eukaryota; Metazoa; Arthropoda; Insecta; Diptera; Drosophilidae. The record is from RNAcentral.
AGGGACCCACUCCCACACAGGUUGUUCCAGUCAUGUGACCUCAUUCGCAAUUUGGUCAGAAUUCUCAAUUAGCUGGUCGCUGGUCCUUUUUUUGGGUAGGAAAUGUUUCUGUGGUUGUCCUUGUUUUGUAUCCCUUUGGUUUCUGUUGUGGUGCAAUGUGGUUUCAUUAGUGGUCGAGUGGGUGAGUGCUUCCGUACAUUUGCUACUUUUACUGUCAACAUUUUGGCUGUCAGAGCUGCUCAGUUC